CCUACGGGAGGCAGCAGUGAGGAAUAUUGGUCAAUGGGCGGGAGCCUGAACCAGCCAAGUCGCGUGAGGGAAGACGGUCCUAUGGAUUGUAAACCUCUUUAGGCGGGGAGCAAUGCCGGGCACGCGUGCCCGGAGGGAGAGUACCCGCAGAAUAAGCAUCGGCUAACUCCGUGCCAGCAGCCGCGGUAAUACGGAGGAUGCGAGCGUUAUCCGGAAUUACUGGGUGUAAAGGGAGCGCAGGCGGGAAGCCAAGUCAGCUGUGAAAACUACGGGCUUAACUUGUAGACUGCAGUUGAAACUGGUUU
Molecule: ribosomal RNA, 305 nt
Filed under: uncultured bacterium
Lineage: Bacteria
Description: bacterial SSU rRNA
Rfam family: Bacterial small subunit ribosomal RNA
Source: RNAcentral